UUAUGAUUGGUUUAAUGCCGACUGUUCGUUCAGAUCUUCCUCAAUUAUUGGUUACGUCUGCACAGAAAUCUUCAUCGCUGUUUCGCGCCAGUGUGUUCCCUUGUUAAUUUUUAGUCGACCAGUGUGGUACCAAGGCUUGUUUGGAAAACGUACCGCUUGAUGUGGGUGUCAUCACAUGUGCGGUAAACCUGACCAUGAAAGGCCAGGCUGCCUGCUAUGCGCCGAUACAAAUGUGCAUGGACUCAUACCAAGUUAAGAGGAAACUUUACAUUGGCAUUUGGAGGCUUGGGAGCAAGAAGAUUGAGGAUGCUUGCGACUUCAGGCCCAUCUUCUACCAAUGGAUGCUGAAAUGUUGGCUGAAACUGCUUCCUCCGAAAGUUGAAGAGCCCUACUUGUUCAGAGGCUGACAGCUUGGGAUCCUCUAUCGCAUUUACCAUUGUGGAAGCACACUGCGACAGCAACGUGAUGACACCGAAACACAGAUAGUCAACCUGUAUGUGUCUAAUAAAACAACCUGUCUUAAGCUGUUUGAUGGUAAGCGGCUGCGCAACAGCCGGUUAAUUUUGCUCAGACUAACGAUGUU
Molecule: long non-coding RNA, 583 nt
Organism: Rhipicephalus sanguineus (brown dog tick)
Lineage: Eukaryota; Metazoa; Arthropoda; Arachnida; Ixodida; Ixodidae
Exons: 6
Source: RefSeq, a predicted model, not a curated record